This 585-nucleotide ribosomal RNA is filed under the name Triticum aestivum (bread wheat). RNAcentral describes it as "partial small subunit ribosomal RNA". The record is from RNAcentral. Lineage: Eukaryota; Viridiplantae; Streptophyta; Magnoliopsida; Poales; Poaceae.
AUGGUUCAGAUUACCUCUUCUACAACCAUCAACGACGGACUGGUUCAUGGGUGUGCCAUCCAUUUUGGCUCGUUGGACUUCCUCACUGAUGCGGGAGAUAUCCCAUGGUGGCUCUUUGCGGAUGAUGUGGUGCUAGUUGACGAUAGUCGGACGGGGGUAAAUAGUAAGUUAGAGUUAUGGAGACAAUCGAAAGGGUUUAGGCUUAGUAGAACUAAAACCGAGUACAUGAUGUGCGGUUUCAGUUCUACUAGGCGCGAGGAGGAGGUUAGCCUUGAUGGGCAUGUGGUGCCUCAGAAGGACACCUUUCGAUAUUUGGGGUCAAUGCUGCAGAAGGAUGGGGGUAUUGAUGAAGAUGUGAACCAUCGAAUCAAAGCCGGAUCGAUGAAGUGGCGCCAAGCUUCUGGCAUUCGCUGUGACAAGAGAGUGCCACAAAAGCUAAAAGGCAAGUUCAACAGGACGGCGGUUCGACCUGCAAUGUUGUAUGGCCCUGAGUGUUGGCCGACUAAAAGGCGACAUGUUCAACAGUUAGGUGUGGCGGAGAUGCGUAUGUUGAGAUGGAUGUGUGGCCACACGAGGAAGGAUUGA